AGGUAUAUAACUCAGCGGUAGAGUGUCACUUUGAUGUGGUGGAAGUCAUCAGUUUGAGCCUGAUUAUCCCUA
Molecule: transfer RNA, 72 nt
Filed under: Capsicum annuum
Lineage: Eukaryota; Viridiplantae; Streptophyta; Magnoliopsida; Solanales; Solanaceae
Rfam family: tRNA
About the family: Transfer RNA (tRNA) molecules are approximately 80 nucleotides in length.
Source: Rfam by way of RNAcentral